Molecule: ribosomal RNA, 842 nt
Filed under: Salmonella enterica
Lineage: Bacteria; Pseudomonadati; Pseudomonadota; Gammaproteobacteria; Enterobacterales; Enterobacteriaceae
Description: partial 23S ribosomal RNA
Rfam family: Bacterial large subunit ribosomal RNA
Source: RNAcentral
UUACUAUAGCUUGACACUGAACAUUGAGCCUUGAUGUGUAGGAUAGGUGGGAGGCUUUGAAGUGUGGACGCCAGUCUGCAUGGAGCCGACCUUGAAAUACCACCCUUUAAUGUUUGAUGUUCUAACGUGGACCCGUGAUCCGGGUUGCGGACAGUGUCUGGUGGGUAGUUUGACUGGGGCGGUCUCCUCCUAAAGAGUAACGGAGGAGCACGAAGGUUGGCUAAUCCUGGUCGGACAUCAGGAGGUUAGUGCAAUGGCAUAAGCCAGCUUGACUGCGAGCGUGACGGCGCGAGCAGGUGCGAAAGCAGGUCAUAGUGAUCCGGUGGUUCUGAAUGGAAGGGCCAUCGCUCAACGGAUAAAAGGUACUCCGGGGAUAACAGGCUGAUACCGCCCAAGAGUUCAUAUCGACGGCGGUGUUUGGCACCUCGAUGUCGGCUCAUCACAUCCUGGGGCUGAAGUAGGUCCCAAGGGUAUGGCUGUUCGCCAUUUAAAGUGGUACGCGAGCUGGGUUUAGAACGUCGUGAGACAGUUCGGUCCCUAUCUGCCGUGGGCGCUGGAGAACUGAGGGGGGCUGCUCCUAGUACGAGAGGACCGGAGUGGACGCAUCACUGGUGUUCGGGUUGUCAUGCCAAUGGCACUGCCCGGUAGCUAAAUGCGGAAGAGAUAAGUGCUGAAAGCAUCUAAGCACGAAACUUGCCCCGAGAUGAGUUCUCCCUGAGACUUAGAGUCUCCUGAAGGAACGUUGAAGACGACGACGUUGAUAGGCCGGGUGUGUAAGCGCAGCGAUGCGUUGAGCUAACCGGUACUAAUGAACCGUGAGGCUUAACCUUACAACGCCGAAG